This is a small nucleolar RNA of Rattus norvegicus (Norway rat), 121 nucleotides long. Ensembl annotates it as small nucleolar RNA SNORA17. The record is from Ensembl. NCBI's taxonomy places the organism in Eukaryota, Metazoa, Chordata, Mammalia, Rodentia, Muridae.
CCCGCCUCCCAAAGGCAUUGCAGGUAUGUCAGUAGGAGGUAGAGAAAAGAAAAGCUAUGCAGAUGCUCAGCUCACUGAUGUCCUGACCUAAGAACAUCUGAAUUAUUAGUAGCCUAACAUU